Molecule: small nuclear RNA, 107 nt
Filed under: Sciurus vulgaris (Eurasian red squirrel)
Lineage: Eukaryota; Metazoa; Chordata; Mammalia; Rodentia; Sciuridae
Source: RNAcentral
GUGCUCACUCAGCCCCACAUAUACUAAAAUUGGACUAAUACAGAGAAGAUUAGCAUGGCCUGUAUGGCAAGGAUAACAUACAAACUCAUGCAGCAUUCCAUAUCAGG